Molecule: RNA transcript, 4923 nt
Organism: Quercus robur (English oak)
Lineage: Eukaryota; Viridiplantae; Streptophyta; Magnoliopsida; Fagales; Fagaceae
Gene name: ethylene-insensitive protein 2
Exons: 9
Source: RefSeq, a predicted model, not a curated record
UUUUUGUGGAACUUUUCCCCACUUCCACUCUCUCUCUCUCUCUUUUCAAUCCCCACCCAUAAAUCUCCUUUUCCUUCUCUCCUCUCUCUGAAAACUUGAGCCUUUCUCUUUCUCUCUCUCUCUCUCUCACACACACUCUCUCUCUAUAUAUAUAAGAAAAAGAAAAAAAAAAAUCCAACUCGUGGCGUUUCUGAGAUCUACAAUCACUACUAGUUGUGAAGUGUGUAGGACUUCAGAGAUAGACAGAGAUUGGCACAGAAAGAUAAAAGCUUUGCAAAACCCAGAAUAGGAAAGCAAGGUUGUGUAUAGAAAUUUCAAUUGGGUAUCAACGUCAGUCUAUGGUGGCAUUCAUGUGAAUUUGGUUGAAGGUGUCUGAAGAUCACAGCUAGUGUUGGAAUAGCAGUUGCAAUUUGAAGCUGUGUUGUCCGAUUCAAGCAAGUUGCACCAUAGGGCCUGGCAGACUCGUUAUUUAUGUUCUCCAGAGAUUUGGCUUAGGCUUGCGCUUUACUGAGUUCAACUAUAAUUUAUCACAGAAUUUGCAAUGUCUCUGUGAAUGUCUUUUGGAUGUUGUAUUUUGUCUCUUCAAGACAGGGUUAGCAGCCAUGUGAUUUAAGUAUCAUACUGGUACCUUUAAAAAAAAAAAAAAACCUGGUACUUCUGUUUUGUGCAAAGUACCAAUCCAUAACAUGGAAGCUGAGAAUUUUAAUUCUUACCAUCUGCCAGAUGGUAUUAAUCGGCUACUUCCUGUUGUUGUACCUGUGCUUCUGGUUUCAGUUGGAUAUGUUGACCCUGGGAAGUGGGCAGCAACUGUUGAAGGUGGUGCCCGUUUUGGGUCUGAGCUGGUAGUAUUAAUGUUAAUUUUCAAUUUUGCUGCUAUUUUAUGUCAAUACCUGUCGGCUCGGAUUGGCUUGGUCACUGGAAGAGAUCUUGCUCAGAUUUGCAGUGAUGAGUACGAUAAGUUCACAUGCAUAAUCUUAGGAGUCCAAACAGAGGUUUCUGUGAUUGCGCUGGACCUUACCAUGAUCUUGGGCCUUGCACAUGGACUUAAUCUUCUUUUUGGGUGGGACUUGUUCACUUGUGUCUUUUUGACUGCUGUCAAUGCUGUUUUAUUUCCACCUUUUGCAAUCCUUUUGGAGAACUGCAAAGUAAAGUUCCUAUGCAUAUGCAUGUCAGGCUUUAUUUUUCUUUUUAUUGUUCUUGGAGUACUCAUUAGUCAACCAGAAAUCUCACCUUCAAUGAAUGGGAUGCUAACAAUUUCAAGUGGGGAGAGUGCAUUUGCACUGAUGAGUCUUCUUGGGGCAAGUAUCAUGCCUCAUAAUUUUUUUCUUCAUUCCUCUAUUGUACAGCAUCUGGGAUCACCAAACAUUUCCAAGGAUGCUUUGUGUCAUAACCAUUUUUUUGCCAUCUUUGGCGUGUUCAGUGGUAUUUAUGUGGUGAAUUAUGCGCUGAUGAUCUCAGCAGCAUCUGUCUUUAACAGUUCCGGCCUUGUUAUGCUUACUUUUCAGGAUGCAAUGACACUAAUGGAACAGGUGUUUAUGAGCCCCUUUGUCUAUCUAUUUGUUCUGUUUUUCUCAAAUCAAAUCACGUCAUUAACCUGGAGUCUAUGUGGACGAGUAGUUUUGCAUGAUUUCUUGAAGUUGGAUAUUCCUGGUUGGCUUCAUUGUGUUACAAUCAGAGUUAUUGCCAUUGUUCCUGCCCUUUACUGUGUGUGGAGUUUAGGAGCUGAAGGGAUGUAUCAACUACUUAUAUUCACACAGGUGAUGGUAGCUUUACUGCUUCCAUCUUCUGUGAUCCCCCUUUUCCGUGUUGCUGCAUCAAGAUCAAUAAUGGGUGUCUACAAAAUUUCUCAGAUUGUGGAGUUUUUAGCCAUUGUCACAUUUAUUGGGAUGCUAGGCUUGAAGCUUAUAUUUGUGGUAGAAAUGAUAUUUGGGAAUAGUGAUUGGGUAACUAAUUUGAAGUGGAAUAUGGGAAGCAGUAUAUCUUUCUCAUAUGUAGUUCUUCUUGUCACUGCUUGUGCAUCACUUUGUUUGAUGCUUUGGCUAUUAGCCACCCCAUUAAAAUCUGCUAGUGCUAGAUUAGAUGCUCAGGCGUGGGAUUGGGGCGUGCCAAAGGCUGUACCUGAUACAUCCACCGAGAGAGAAGAAUCUGAUUUAACUGGAAGUGCAUAUCACGGCGAGGCACCCAUUCAGAAGCAGGAACCAUCACUGGCACAGAGCAAGGGUUUGGAGAGUCAUUCAGAUGGACUAGUUGCAGAUCCUCGUAUCAACUUGCCUGAAACUAUUACUGAGCCUGAUCACAGGCAUCAGUUGACUACUGUAGAGGAAAAUCAUUCCAAUUCUACAUUUACUAGCUCCCUCACAUGUGGUGUGGAGGAAAUGCCAGUGGCGGUAGGGUCAGUCCCUGUCUCAGUUGUUCCUAAUGUGCUUUCUGAUGUUAAAUUGCUAGACACUAGAAGUGUGAAGUCAGAAUCAAUGGACCCUGUUGAGAAGAUUCUGGGAAUGGAGGGAGAUCUACAAACUGAAAAAGAUGAUGAUGAGGCAGAUACUUGGGAACAUGAUGAAUCAGGUAAAGGGGUUUCUGGGAGCACACAAUCUUUGACAUCUGAGGGUCCAGGAUCAUUUAGGAGUCUCAGUGGGAGAGGUGAUGAAGGAGGAAGUGGUACUGGAAGUCUUUCAAGAUUAGCAGGAUUAGGACGUGCUGCAAGGCGUCAGCUAGCUGGAGUUCUUGAUGAGUUUUGGGGACAACUGUUUGAUUUCCAUGGGCAAACUACUCAAGAAGCAAAGACUAAGAAACUGGAUGUUUUGCUGGGAGUGGAUUCUAAGCCUUCCUCUUCAUCACUGAAAGUGGAUACCACUGCACAGGAAUUUUCUGGAUACUUCACAUCGGUGGGAGGCAGGGGAUCUGAUCAUUUAAGCAACUCAAGUUUAUACAACUCUCCCAAGCAGCAGAAUGUGCAAAGGAGUACAGAGUCAGCAUAUGGGGUUCAAAGGGGAUCUUCCUCAAUGUGGUCCAACCAUGUGCAGUUGUUGGAUGCAUAUGUUCAGAAUUCAAGCCGCAAUGUCCCAGACUCCAGCGAGAGGCGCUAUUCUAGUGUGCGCAAUCUACCUUCCGUGGAAAGUUUGGAUUAUCAGCCCGCUACAGUACAUGGUUAUCAGCUUGCAUCCUAUCGAAUGGCUAUAGACAGAAACUCUGAUCACUUGAAUAGUCAAAUGGAGUCAACAGCUUUGAGAUCCCCACCAUUGGGUGUUACAAGCUAUAGUAGAGAUUCGAUGGCUUUUGCUUUAGGGCAAAAGUUGCAAAAUGGGUUAAGCUCUAGUCAUAACUCUAGUUUCCAGAAUCCGGCAAUAUCCAGAGAGAGUCAGUUGCAAUGCGAAAGAUCGUAUUAUGAUCCUUGCUCUUCUGGACCUGCUGAUACUGUUGUAAGUUCAGCCAACACGAAGAAAUACCAUAGCUUGCCGGACAUGUCAGGAUACUCUGUCCCUCAACGGGACUUAUACAUGUCUGAUAAGAGUGCACAAUGGGACAAUCCUAUUCAAUAUGGACCCUCUGUUAGUAGAACAGUUUAUGAACAGUCCUUAUAUCCAAAUUCUGGAUCAAGAACAGGAGCUCCUUUGGUAUUUGAUGAACUCUCUCCAACAAAAGUUUACAGAGAUGGUUUCUCUUCACAGUUGAAUUCUAGUUCCAGAUCCCUCUGGUCUAGACAACCUUUUGAGCAGUUUGGUGUAGCUGACAAAAAUCUUACUGUUGGGAGUGAAGGAGUUAGAAGUAGGUCAAGUUCAAUUACUCAAGAAGCUACUUCUACUGUGGAUUCAGAGGCCAAACUUCUUCAGUCUUUCAGACAUUGUAUUGUGAAGCUAUUGAAAUUGGAAGGAUCUGAUUGGUUAUUUAAACAAAAUGAUGGGGCUGAUGAGGAUCUAAUUGACCGAGUGGCCGCAAGAGAGAAAUUUCUUUAUGAAGCUGAAACUAGAGAGAUGAAUCGGGGGGUUCAAAUAGGUGAGCCUCAGUAUUCUUCUGAUAGGAAGUCUGGUUCUGCCAUGAGGAAUAGUGAUGCAGGUUUAAACAACUUUUUGAUUUCCUCUGUUCCUCAUUGUGGGGAGGGCUGUGUUUGGAGAUUAGAUUUGAUAGUGAGCUUUGGGGUGUGGUGCAUCCACCGGAUUCUUGACCUGUCACUCAUGGAAAGCCGGCCAGAGCUGUGGGGCAAAUAUACAUACGUAUUAAACCGUCUUCAGGGGAUAAUUGAUCCAGCAUUUUCAAAACCUCGUUCUCCAAUGACCCCAUGCUUCUGCCUUCAUAUCCCUGAGGCGUACCAGCAGAGGUCAAGUCCACCUGUUUCAAAUGGAAUGCUACCCCCUGCUUCAAAACCGGGCAGGGGGAAAUGCACAACUGCAGUGAUGGUCUUAGAUAUAAUCAAGGAUGUAGAGAUUGCAAUCUCUUGUAGAAAGGGCAGAACAGGCACUGCAGCUGGUGAUGUGGCUUUCCCAAAGGGUAAAGAAAAUCUUGCAUCUGUCCUAAAACGCUACAAGCGUCGUUUAUCUAACAAAUCUGUUGGUGCUCAUGAGGGGUCUGGGCCACGUAAGGUUCCUACAUCUUCCCCAUAUAUCUUGUAGCUCCCGCCCUCAGUUUCCAACAGGUUCAGUGAUUAUUGGGUUGCUUGAUUUUGGGAAGCAGCUCAUGCUCCUGAUCAGCUCUGUCCUCAGUUGUUAGAGACUCUAGGGGAAGACCAGACAUUGCAAUGAGGUUCAACUGUGUUGCAUUAUAAUCCUAAAUUUUAAAAGUUUUAAGAGAAUGCAAGGGAUCGCACUAACCAGGAGGAUGGCGAUGCGAAACAACAUACACUUAAUUCAUAUGUAGCUUGGGAAAGUUUUAUACAUUGUUUAUUCAUGGUUUGAAAAAUAGCACUUUGUCUAAUUGAGGUUAACUUCA